AGUCGAGCGCGAUUAGUUGGAACGGAGACUUCGGUUGAAGGGAAGACUAUGAAAGCGGCGGACGGGUGAGUAACGCGUGAGCAACCUGCCCUGUACAGGGGGAUAGCCACUGGAAACGGUGAUUAAUACCCCAUAACCCCAAUAGGUCACAUGGCCUGCUGGGCAAAGCCUUGGCGGUACAGGAUGGGCUCGCGUCUGAUUAGCUAGUUGGUGAGGUAAAGGCUCACCAAGGCGACGAUCAGUAGCCGACCUGAGAGGGUGAACGGCCACACUGGAACUGAGACACGGUCCAGACUCCUACGGGAGGCAGCAGUGGGGAAUAUUGCACAAUGGGCGCAAGCCUGAUGCAGCAACGCCGCGUGAGUGAUGAAGGCCUUCGGGUCGUAAAACUCUGUCCUAAGGGAAGAAGAAGUGACGGUACCUUAGGAGGAAGCCCCGGCUAACUACGUGCCA
RNAcentral lists this ribosomal RNA (453 nucleotides) under uncultured bacterium. RNAcentral describes it as "bacterial SSU rRNA". It matches the Rfam family "Bacterial small subunit ribosomal RNA", at positions 60 to 510 of the family's 1533-position model. The record is from RNAcentral.